UACGGGGGGAGCAAGCGUUGUUCGGAUUUACUGGGCGUAAAGGGCGCGUAGGCGGCCACCGCAAGUCAAUUGUGAAAUCUCCGGGCUUAACUCGGAAAGGUCAACUGAUACUGCGGGGCUAGAGUGCGGAAGGGGCAACUGGAAUUCUCGGUGUAGCGGUGAAAUGCGUAGAUAUCGGGAGGAACACCAGUGGCGAAGGCGACUACCUGGCCUGUUCUUGACGCUGAGGCGCGAAAGCUAGGGGAGCAAACGGG
RNAcentral lists this ribosomal RNA (254 nucleotides) under uncultured bacterium. Its description in RNAcentral is "partial 16S ribosomal RNA". It matches the Rfam family "Bacterial small subunit ribosomal RNA", at positions 524 to 776 of the family's 1533-position model. The record is from RNAcentral.